Long non-coding RNA from Hyaena hyaena (striped hyena), 196 nucleotides. RefSeq lists it as uncharacterized. The record is from RefSeq and is a predicted model, not a curated record. The transcript is spliced from 3 exons. Lineage: Eukaryota; Metazoa; Chordata; Mammalia; Carnivora; Hyaenidae.
UAAACUAGCACUCAAGUGUAUAAAAACAACUUGUAUCCUAACUACAUAAAAACUACAACUUCCUAUGCUUUCGCCAUUAUUAUAGUUCCGGCCCUAAUAUUUAUUUAUUCCGGACAAGAAACAAUUAUCUCAAACUGACACUGAAUGACAAUCCAAACACUAAAAUUCUCCAUGAGCUUUAAACUCGACUAUUUCU